UUUCUAUUGAUCACUCAACAUCUUCGUCAUGCACCUUUGCCCAUCACUUCCCUACCCCUCCCGUGCUUAGCAACUUUGAUGUAUGCUCUGCCGUCACAUUCUUCACCUUGACAUUGCCAUCAUUGUUUGCUAGUUCACCUUCUUGAGCACUAUCGGAUUACAAAUAGAAUUUAUUGCCUUGGGCAUAAGAAAGCUUUGGUGAGGUCAAAGGAGAGAGGAGUUGGGUUUGGGCUCCAAUGAAGGGUGGUGAUGGUCACGAUGGUGCUCGAAAUUAAAGGUGGUAACCAUUAGGUCAGAAUAGGUUUGGGAUGGAUUUACCAUAUAUACCA
Molecule: long non-coding RNA, 329 nt
Filed under: Elaeis guineensis (African oil palm)
Lineage: Eukaryota; Viridiplantae; Streptophyta; Magnoliopsida; Arecales; Arecaceae
Description: long non-coding RNA (EGUI_LNC075732)
Source: RNAcentral